This 73-nucleotide transfer RNA is filed under the name Rhipicephalus microplus (southern cattle tick). Its description in RNAcentral is "tRNA-Glu". It matches the Rfam family "tRNA". Rfam says of the family: Transfer RNA (tRNA) molecules are approximately 80 nucleotides in length. Their secondary structure includes four short double-helical elements and three loops (D, anti-codon, and T loops). Lineage: Eukaryota; Metazoa; Arthropoda; Arachnida; Ixodida; Ixodidae. The record is from Rfam by way of RNAcentral.
UCCGGCGUGGUCUAGUGGCUAGGGAUAUCUGGCGUUCACCCAGAAGGCCCGGGUUCGAUUCCCGGCGUCGGAA